Molecule: ribosomal RNA, 253 nt
Filed under: uncultured bacterium
Lineage: Bacteria
Description: partial 16S ribosomal RNA
Rfam family: Bacterial small subunit ribosomal RNA
Source: RNAcentral
UACGUAGGGGGCUAGCGUUGUCCGGAAUCAUUGGGCGUAAAGAGCGUGUAGGCGGCCCGGUAAGUCCGCUGUGAAAGUCGGGGGCUCAACCCUCGAAUGCCGGUGGAUACUGUCGGGCUAGAGUGCGGAAGAGGCGAGUGGAAUUCCUGGUGUAGCGGUGAAAUGCGCAGAUAUCAGGAGGAACACCGAUGGCGAAGGCAGGUCUCUGGGCCAUAACUGACGCUGAGAAGCGAAAGCAUGGGGAGCGAACAGG